GUAUUGCAGGUUGUCAGGACCCGGACGGCGCAGCUCCGGGAGCUCUCCGGAUACGUGCGGCUCAUUCAUCCCUUUGAAGCCCCGGAUUUUAUGGCCGUGCCCAUCGAUCUGCAGAACCGGGCCUACGCCAAGUAUAUAGAAGAGGUGAUGGAGGGGAAGUGACGCCCCCGGUGGAGAUGCUCCGUGAGAAGUAGCAGCUGCCAUUUCACUUGUAGUCACAGGCGACGACCAUGGUCAUGUGAUGCAUGUCCGCUGCAGAAGAUGGAUGAUGGGAGUAGUGGCCUGCGCACACAUGGACCAUACCUCAGCACGCUGGGGGGCACUCACUCCACAGAACCUGAACCCCCCAUGGGCCUUACCCCUCCUAAUAAAGCCACCCAGGACCUCCAGCUUGGGGAUCUAAUCAA
Molecule: long non-coding RNA, 407 nt
Organism: Bufo gargarizans (Asiatic toad)
Lineage: Eukaryota; Metazoa; Chordata; Amphibia; Anura; Bufonidae
Exons: 2
Source: RefSeq, a predicted model, not a curated record